This 222-nucleotide long non-coding RNA is filed under the name Elaeis guineensis (African oil palm). RNAcentral's name for it is "long non-coding RNA (EGUI_LNC048518)". The record is from RNAcentral. Lineage: Eukaryota; Viridiplantae; Streptophyta; Magnoliopsida; Arecales; Arecaceae.
UUGCACUGAUGUUUCUUCAUAGAUAAAUGCUUUUUCCUCCCUUUUUUAGCUAUUUCUUUCCUUUAUACAAUUAAAGGUCUCUCUUUUAUUGCAGAGGGUAUUACAUCCCCUCCUACUCCAAAAGAUCUUUGUCCUUAAGGAUCAAACUGAGGGUAUUGACUCUUGAGGACCCAGUAGUCCUCCUAGAUAGCUUCUCUUUUGCCUAAAUUACUCCAUUGGACU